Molecule: small RNA, 28 nt
Filed under: Bombyx mori (domestic silkworm)
Lineage: Eukaryota; Metazoa; Arthropoda; Insecta; Lepidoptera; Bombycidae
Description: piRNA piR-bmo-1962212
Source: RNAcentral
UUGCUGAGUGGCUAAAGAUGUGUGAGGU